CACGUAGGGUGCAAGCGUUAUCCGGAUUUAUUGGGCGUAAAGGGCUCGUAGGCGGUUCGUCGCGUCCGGUGUGAAAGUCCAUCGCUUAACGGUGGAUCCGCGCCGGGUACGGGCGGGCUUGAGUGCGGUAGGGGAGACUGGAAUUCCCGGUGUAACGGUGGAAUGUGUAGAUAUCGGGAAGAACACCAAUGGCGAAGGCAGGUCUCUGGGCCGUUACUGACGCUGAGGAGCGAAAGCGUGGGGAGCGAACAGG
Molecule: ribosomal RNA, 253 nt
Filed under: uncultured bacterium
Lineage: Bacteria
Description: partial 16S ribosomal RNA
Rfam family: Bacterial small subunit ribosomal RNA
Source: RNAcentral